UCGAACGUAAGAUGACUGUAGGUGAAAGCUUACAUCUCUUCGGAGCAUUUUACGAGGUGCUGCAUGGUUGUCGUCAGCUCGUGCCGUGAGGUGUCGGGUAAGUCCCAUAACGAGCGCAACCCUACCUUUAGUUGCCAUCAGGUAAUGCUGGGGACUCUAAAGGAACUGCCUACGCAAGUAGUGAGGAAGGCGGGGAUGACGUCAAAUCAGCACGGCCCUUACGUCCAGGGCUACACACGUGCUACAAUGGCCGAUACAGAGGGCAGCUACCUGGUGACAGGAUGCAAAUCUCCAAAGUCGGUCUCAGUUCGGAUUGGAGUCUGCAACUCGACUCCAUGAAGUUGGAAUCGCUAGUAAUCGUGGAUCAGCAUGCCACGGUGAAUACGUUCCCGGGCCUU
This 398-nucleotide ribosomal RNA is filed under the name uncultured Sphingobacteriales bacterium. RNAcentral's name for it is "bacterial SSU rRNA". It matches the Rfam family "Bacterial small subunit ribosomal RNA", at positions 981 to 1382 of the family's 1533-position model. The record is from RNAcentral. Lineage: Bacteria; Pseudomonadati; Bacteroidota; Sphingobacteriia; Sphingobacteriales.